UCAGUAAUGAAAUUGAAAUAAUUUUAUAAAAAGUAAAUUAAAAAUAAAAAGUAAAGUUAAACUUUUUAUAUUGAAUGAUGAAUUUGAAAUAAAAGGAAAAAAGAAUCUAAUGAAUAGUGUCUUGUACAAAGCAUAGUUUUUAAAACCGAUCCGAUCUAAGACCCGGGUUUCUGGUGUUGACCGGGUUCCGGGUUUUGACCGGGUCACCGGGUCGGCUGGGUCAAUUCCUAUUUUAAAAAAAAUUCAAAACGGCGUCGUUUUAGCAAAACAAAAACAAAAGUCAACGGGUUGCAAUCAGGUUUUUGAUCAAAUUUUACCAGGUCAACCGGGUCAUUACUUUUUCUAUUUUUGUAUCAACCCGACCUGGUUUUAUUCCCGAGUCAUCCUGGUCCCGAGAGACCUAUCGCACAAAGAGUAAUUUAGUCGAAUGAAAUCAUUCUUCCUAAAAUCCUGCACUAAGAUGGAAGGUAGGCGAAGGAGCUGUUUUCAACAAGUCAAUGGUUGGGUUCUGUAAAGACAGAAGAUCCCCAAAUAUUCGCGAGACCCAUGACUUUUCUAAACUAGCUGUCAAGAGCAGUGGAUGAAGCACCGCCUCUAGCACCACGACGAAAACCCAGUUCCCAUGCAAGUUCCAGACCUCCGUGCAUUACAACGCACCGCCUAUAAUUCUUAUUUUAUAUCUUCGAUACCCUAUCAAGUGUCGAGGAUCACACGCCCAUAUCAACGGUUUCCUUCUCCGAUCCUGUCUCUCUUUUUUUCCCAUGGCCACCGAAGGCUCUUCAAAUCUUCUCCCUUUCAAUACUCUUGUUCAUAUGAUCACCCUCCACAAAUUAUCUUAUAUGGCAUGGUCAGAUUCUUCCCCUCAUUGAAAGCCAAGAUCUUAUUGGUCAUAUUGAUGGUUCCAAUGUCCUAACUUCAAAAUUUAACCCUGCUACUUUUCAGACACCAAAUGACAAAUACCUGGCGUGGAGGGCUGCUGACCAACGUCUCCUUUGUCUUCUUUUCUUCUCUCACUGAAGAAUCUUUUGCUGAAAUUGUUGGCCUCUAUACUACACGAGAGGUCUGGCUUGCCUUAGAGACCGCUUUCAAUCAUCGGUCCAAGGCCCCUAAGAUUCAUCUCAAAGAUGAACUCCAGUUAAUGAAAAGAGGUUCCAGCCCGUGACUGACUUUGCUCGUGCCUUCAAAAGCCUCUACGAUCAGUUUCAUGCCAUUGGUCGUCCUGUUGAUGACACGAACAAAGUGCACUGGUUCCUCUGUGGCCUCGGUGCGAUUUCUCCAGUUUCUCCUCUAACUAGAAUACACUCACUCACUUGCCCAUAUUUGCUGAUCUUGUUUCCAAAGCUGAAAGUUUUGAGAUUUUUCAGAGGUCCCUUAAGCCUACAGCACCUCCUUCUGCUGCCUUCACAGCCACUCCCCGCGUGUCCAACCGCCCAAACCAGCGGAAUCCUUCCCGCUUUAACCCUGGCCAAUCCUCCUGCUAUGGCCGCACUAACUUCUCUCCUGGUCGUCUUCCUCGCUGUCAAAUCUAUCGAUCGUGAUGAAGGUCACUACGCUGAUCAGUCCCCCCAGCGCUACAACCGUGGUGACUCUGCUGCCCAUCUUGCUGAAGCAUUCACUGGGUCUUGUUCUCUCAAUGACCCUCCGACCUCUGAUUGGUUUUUAGACACUAGAGCUUAAGCUCACAUGUCUAAUGCUCCCUCAUUGGAUCUACCCGUGCCAUAUGUUGGUAAGGACUCUGUAAUUGUGGGAAAUGGUGCAUCUUUAACUAUCACACAUACAGGUUGCCUUUUCCCUACUCCAAAACUUCAUUUAUACAUCUCACCAAAGAUUUACUUUCCAUUAGUAAAUUAACAUCUGAUUUUCCAGUGGUUGUUACUUUUAUUAAUAAUCGUUUUUUAUUCAGAAUCGUCAAACAAGAAGGAAGGGUGGUAGCAACCGGUAAGAUGGAUGACGACUUAAUAUGUGCUAGGGCGUGGCAACUUGGCCUUUAUUUCCGUUCUCAAAAAUAAACAAUAACAUGCUUCCUAUGAUUUAUGGCAUACUCGCAUUGGACAUGUAAUUAAUUAUGUUAUUUAUUCUUCAAAUAAAAAAAAAAGGCCAUCUUUAUCUUUCACCUCUUUACAAGCUUCUCCUCACUUAUGCAGCUCCUACUUGUGAAAAACCAUCGCUUGUCAUGUCCAUGUAAUGAACGUCCCUCUUCGCCCACUUCGGUCUCUGGUCCACUUUCUCCCAUGGCACUGUCGGGUCCUGUUGUGGCACAGACGGUCCCUCCUAUUUCUAUCACCUCCAAUCUGAUCAGUUAUCAUCCCAUGCUCACACGUGCUAAGGCUGGUAUUUUGAAGAGUCGCCACCCCGCAAAUCUUGGUGUCUUCAGCUCCACUGGCCUUCUUUCGACAUUUCUUGCCUCUGCUAAGCUUAAGGGCUUCAAAUCUACUGCUAAGAAUCUUGCCUGGCUUGCCACCAUGAAUGAAGAAAUUCGAGAUCUGUAGCAUAACAGCAUCUGGGUUUUGGUCCCUUGCCCUGCCAACACCAACAUUGGGGGCUCCAAAUGGAUGUUUUGAACCAAAUAUUUUUCUGAUGGCUCUAUCGAGAGACUCAAGGCUCAUCUUGUUGCCAAGGGUUACACUGAUAUCCCUGGUCUCGACUAUACUGAUACUUUUAGUCUUAUUAUUAAGGCUAUUAUUGUUCGUGUUGUACUUUCUCUGACCAACUAGUGGCCCCUUGACUAAUCCAACAUCAAAAAUGCUUUUCUCAAUAGCAUUUUUAGUGAAAAUAUCUAUAUGGAGCAAUCUCCUAGCUACAUUGAUCAUCGUUUCCUUAAUCAUGUUUGCCAAUUGAAGUAAUCUCUAUAUGGUUUCAAACAGGCUCCUCGUGCCUAGUUUCAGCAUUGCCGUUCUUUUCUUCUUCAA
This is an RNA transcript of Populus nigra (black poplar), 2909 nucleotides long. RefSeq lists it as uncharacterized. The transcript has 2 exons. NCBI's taxonomy places the organism in Eukaryota, Viridiplantae, Streptophyta, Magnoliopsida, Malpighiales, Salicaceae. The record is from RefSeq and is a predicted model, not a curated record.